GGCCUAGAUUCAAUAUUUUUUAUUUCUUACAAAACCAAGUAAAUGAUACAAAGAAAUAAUAUUUACAUAUAAUUAUUAUAUGUAAAUAACAUACAGAUUCUGGCCAUGACAAGAUUGUACAAAACCAGCAUAAAAGAUGACAGAUUGAUGAUCAACCAGGAGAACAUACCUCUGUAUUGAUAAUUCUGAUUAAUUUACACAGCAUCACUGAAGAUAUAUUUGUUGUCUAUAUACACAUCUGGUGCAGAAAAAAUUGGUACAGUUAAUGUCAUUACAAGAAGUUAUCGCAUGUCAUAUUUGAAUGACAUUAUGUAAUUAUUAAUAGAAUAUUUUGCAAUGAGGCUUUUGUAGACAAAAUUGUGUGUCUGGCGCAAAUACAAAAUUUUAAUCCUGGUAUCUAUGAUGAGUUUACUUGCCCCUGUAAGAUUUCAAAGUACAGUACUGACAACUACUAGUAUUUUUCAAGACUGUAUGUUGCCCUCUGGACAUCAGAUGAUCAUUUGAGUCUUUAUAUUGCUGUUUCAUUUCAUUUAUAUAUAAUAAAAACAAAGACAAAUGUUUAAAAAAGUGUUAACAUUUUUAUUGAAUUAUAUACAUGUAUGUCAUGCUACCAGAAGUAAAGCUUUCUUCCUUUGCAUACAAAAGCCAUCCAUUAAUUCCACAACAAUUAUUCUCCAUAUGCAACAUAUAUAUGAAACAAUAACAAAAAAUUAUUAGAAAAUUGUUGUUUUUAACAAACAGUUGACAAAAAAGGUACAUCACUAAACAAUAUCAUAUGAUUACACUACUUUUAUUAGAUGGACUUACAAUUGCAGUUUAUUAUAUCAAUGUUCUUCAGUUGUACUACACUGUCAAAUUUAAGUCAAAACUUAUGAUCUCGUUAAAAAAAAUCUACUAUGCAAUUUUGUGUAGAAGCUAAUAUUGGGGGGUAAAUUUCUUGAAAAGAAAAAAAAAUGUUUGCCUAUUGAGCAUAUAUUUUUUUCUCCAUUCUAUAAGUUAUAAACCAUAACUUAAUGUUAUUAAACCCUAUUCAAAUUGAGAUGUACUCCUUCACCUUGCAUUUUUAAAUAAAGUUACUUGUUUCAUGAUACAAAUAUUUAACACAGUUUUUAAUAGAUUUCAAAUAUACCUUUAUAUAAAACAACUAAAAAUUAAAAAGAAGUUUAUUAUUUUAAAAAAAAUCCUUGCCAUGCUGGAUAUUUGUGUAACAGUAGAACAUGAUGUUAUUUAAAAAAAAUAGUCUUUGUUUUUAGAAAUUGCAUGUAUUUGUUGCAAUUCACCAGUAAAACCAUAUACAGUUAACUCUCGUUGUCGUCGAACUCGUUGACUCGAAAUUUCAGAUGAGUCGAAGUUUUCACGUGGUCCCGAACUUUGUUCCAUAUAAAUGUAUGUAAUUCAACUUCUGAUG
This 1408-nucleotide long non-coding RNA is filed under the name Mytilus galloprovincialis (Mediterranean mussel). Lineage: Eukaryota; Metazoa; Mollusca; Bivalvia; Mytilida; Mytilidae. The record is from RNAcentral.